Pelobates cultripes (western spadefoot toad) is the source of this 242-nucleotide non-coding RNA. NCBI's taxonomy places the organism in Eukaryota, Metazoa, Chordata, Amphibia, Anura, Pelobatidae. The record is from the annotation of a GenBank genome assembly.
AGGUGCUGUAUGUGUGUGUGCUGUAUGUUUGGAGGGAUUUGGCAGAUUAGUAAAUCCUUGCUGCCAUGUGCCAUCCCUGGUGGUCCAGUGGAGAGUGAACUCUAGCCUGUGGGGCUAGAGUUAACUCUCACGAGAUCUGAGCGUUGCCGCAGCAACGCUCAGAUAUCGCGAGAGGAACCUGGCGGAGCUUCUGUCUAGAGCUCCCUGGGUCCUCUCCUGCCUCCCUCCAUGCUGCUGUGGGC